CGUAGCUUUCACUUCCAUUCGGACUCCGAUGGCUAUGCUUUCGAGGCUUAGAUUUUUUGGUCUUCAGCCUUUGCUCUGCAUCUAAGACAAUGCUUGGAUGGUGAAAUUUAUCAACAAUUUGCCUUUCAAGCAUCAAUGUUUCUCUUUCAAGCAUUUAGGUAGUCAAAUAUUAUGUUGAUGGUCAUGUCAAAGAUAAACCAUAGAACCAAACCAGGUGAAAUGAUC
This is a long non-coding RNA of Asparagus officinalis (garden asparagus), 225 nucleotides long. RefSeq lists it as uncharacterized. Lineage: Eukaryota; Viridiplantae; Streptophyta; Magnoliopsida; Asparagales; Asparagaceae. The record is from RefSeq and is a predicted model, not a curated record. The transcript has 3 exons.